GCCAGCGUGGUGUAGUGGUUUGAGCAAUGAACUAUGACUCUGAAGGCCGGGGUUCAAAUCCCCACUUGGCC
Phrynosoma platyrhinos (Desert horned lizard) is the source of this 71-nucleotide non-coding RNA. The record is from the annotation of a GenBank genome assembly. NCBI's taxonomy places the organism in Eukaryota, Metazoa, Chordata, Lepidosauria, Squamata, Phrynosomatidae.